RNAcentral lists this ribosomal RNA (238 nucleotides) under uncultured bacterium. Its description in RNAcentral is "partial 16S ribosomal RNA". It matches the Rfam family "Bacterial small subunit ribosomal RNA", at positions 118 to 351 of the family's 1533-position model. The record is from RNAcentral.
UGAGUAACCUGCCCUUAACUCUGGGAUAAGCCUGGGAAACUGGGUCUAAUACCGGAUAUGACUCCUCAUCGCAUGGUGGGGGGUGGAAAGCUUUAUUGUGGUUUUGGAUGGACUCGCGGCCUAUCAGCUUGUUGGUGAGGUUUACGGCUCACCAAGGCGACGACGGGUAGCCGGCCUGAGAGGGUGACCGGCCACACGUGGGACUGAGACACGGCCCAGACCUCCGUACGGGAGGCAG